Molecule: transfer RNA, 70 nt
Filed under: Craugastor talamancae (Almirante robber frog)
Lineage: Eukaryota; Metazoa; Chordata; Amphibia; Anura; Craugastoridae
Description: tRNA-Leu
Rfam family: tRNA
About the family: Transfer RNA (tRNA) molecules are approximately 80 nucleotides in length.
Source: RNAcentral
UUUAACGUGGCACAACCCGGCCCUGCAAAAGACCUAAACUCUUUGGAUAGAGGUUCAAAUCCUCUCGUUA